GGGUAGGCGUAGGCGGCUGAUUAAGUCAGCGGUGAAAGGUAGCAGCUUAACUGUUUUACAUGCCGUUGAUACUGGUUAGCUUGAGUUGACAGAAGGCAGAUAGAAUUCCUGGUGUAGCGGUGAAAUGCUUAGAUACCAGGAGGAAUACCGAUUGCGAAGGCAGUCUGCUGCAGUCACACUGACGCUGAGGCUCGAAGGUGCGGGGAUCAAACAGGAUUAGAUACCCCAGU
RNAcentral lists this ribosomal RNA (230 nucleotides) under uncultured bacterium. RNAcentral describes it as "partial 16S ribosomal RNA". It matches the Rfam family "Bacterial small subunit ribosomal RNA", at positions 565 to 791 of the family's 1533-position model. The record is from RNAcentral.